This 251-nucleotide ribosomal RNA is filed under the name uncultured bacterium. Its description in RNAcentral is "partial 16S ribosomal RNA". It matches the Rfam family "Bacterial small subunit ribosomal RNA", at positions 524 to 773 of the family's 1533-position model. The record is from RNAcentral.
UACGUAGGAUGCAAGCGUUAUCCGGAAUGAUUGGGCGUAAAGCGUCUUAAGGUGGCUUUGUGAAGUCUACUGUUAAAGAUCAAGGCUUAACCUUGAGCAGGCAGUAGAAACUCAUAAGCUUGAGUACGGUAGGGGCAGAGGGAAUUCCCGGUGUAGCGGUGAAAUGCGUAGAUAUCAGGAGGAACACCGGUGGUGUAGACGGCUUUCUGGACCGUAACUGACGCUGAGACACGAAAGCGUGGGUAGCAAAC